GUCAUGUAAUCUCUUAAUCGUUUCACGUCUGAUAAUUUCACCGGUUUCACUAUAAAGUCCUCUGCUCCUUCCUCCAAACACCGGUCGAUUCGAGCCAUGACGUUCUCCGAUGACAUAAUCACUACCGGAAUUUCUCUGAAAGUGGACGAUUCCUUGAUUUUCUUGAGCAACUCGUAACCAGUCAUUCCAGGCAUGCAGUAGUCUGUGAUAAUCAGAUCCACCUUCAAGCCAUCGAAACCAACAGAGGAGCUCUUCUCUUCAUCUAAUCCCAGGAAUUGCAGAGCUCGAAUUCCACUAUCCACUGCAGUCACUUUACAACAUGAGAUUUUGAGCAAACGUUCAAUGACUUUGCGGUCAACAAGACUAUCAUCCACUGCCAAAACGUGCACUUGU
This 393-nucleotide unclassified non-coding RNA is filed under the name Hevea brasiliensis (rubber tree). The record is from RNAcentral. Lineage: Eukaryota; Viridiplantae; Streptophyta; Magnoliopsida; Malpighiales; Euphorbiaceae.